Molecule: unclassified non-coding RNA, 9436 nt
Filed under: Nilaparvata lugens (brown planthopper)
Lineage: Eukaryota; Metazoa; Arthropoda; Insecta; Hemiptera; Delphacidae
Description: slowpoke-binding protein, transcript variant X7
Source: RNAcentral
UAAGCGGGCAGUCAGUGAGCUGUAUUGUCCAUAAAAACUUUCUCUAGUGACAAAAAGUGAACGGAGCUUUCAACUUCACAAAUCCUCUCGUUAAAAAAGUAUUAUGAAUUAGUGCUGGGAAAAUCUUUCCGAUAACAUCAGUUACAGUGCUUAUCAAAAUAAGUUUUGUUUAUCAAGACCACAGGAAUAUUUCUGUGUUGGAUAAUCGAGCAUCGUAUUCCUAAAUUUUCUGUUUUUUUUUCUAUAAUGGAAAACGUUGAAAACCCUUAUGGUAUCAGAUAAUAUGGUAUCUCUCCCGUAAUAUCCAAAUCCAAAUCCAUCGGUAUUGUAUGCAAAAUUCAUUAACAUAAAGUUCAAACAUACAUUAUUUAUUUAAUUAUUUAUUAGGUCAGCACAAACAAUACAAAGGAAAAAAACAGGCUAUUGCCUAAAACUUCUCCAAUUUCCCAAAUUAGUUUCAAAUUGUCCAAAUAAAAAUUAGUAUGUUAGUCUAUUUUGUGAUAACUACUGAUAGUGAACUAUUAAAAAUAUGUUAUAAAAUUUAUUUUUGUGCUAUAAAGUGUGCAUCAACAUAGAAGUGAAGUGGACUUUCUAUCACUUAUUCAACUUGCAUUGAAUAUUGAAAAAUUGGAAUGAACUGUAGGUGCAGGGCUCCAAUAUUGUAUCUUUACAAAUAGAGAAUCUAUUUAAGCUCGCAAACACAAUCAGAACAAAAUGGACUUAACCAGCGGUGAACAAUAAAUUGAUACAAUGUGUUGAACUUUAAGUGCAGUGUCUCAAUGUUGUGCCUGUACGAGUAGAUGCCUCGCGAAUUUAUUUGUGCUCACCGACUCAAUUUGGACUGGAAUCUAUAUUAUAAUCUAACCUAAUAGUUAUUUUAAAACGUCAGCAGCAACAUAUUAGGCUACUUGAAACGAUAGGUUGAUUUAAACGACAGAUUACGUUUAACUACAGGUUACAGAAACGAAACAUAACUUUCUACAAGAGAUCAUAUCAAACGACAGAUUACGUUAACGACAGGUUACAGAAACGAAACAUCACUUUAAACGAAAGAUCACUUCAAACGACAGAUUCAUUUAAACGACGGAUUCCUUUCAACGACACAUUAUUAAAAACGACGGAUUACUUUAAACUACAGAUUAUUUCAAACGAUUGAAUACUUUGAACGUCGGAUUAUUUAAAACGACAGUAGAUUGAGAGUUAAAUCGUAAUGUUGAUGGAGUGAGCAACCGCGUUGCAACAUGUUGAACCUCUAUAAGACAAUGUCGCGCCAACAAGGUGCGGCUGCCUCCGAGCAUCACACGGGCCACGACCGUUUCGCCCAAAGCCCGGCGAGCGAGCACCGCCCCCGGAGGCGGCGAGCCCGUCCGCCGGCCGCGCGUCGCGCGCACUCCGCCCUCGAACUGAAUCCGCGCGCGUUGGCAGUCGCGCGUCAGUCGCUGCAGCGCUCCGCCAGCACUGAGUCGCAGCCUGAAGACGACUCCAAGCCGCUGCUCAAUCGCCUAUUCUCCUGCGUUACCAUCUCCUCGGUAGGAAACGACCAGCAGUCGCCCAACAGGCAUGUGGGAAGAUACGAGUACACCGCCCUGGAGGCAGAGAACAGUGUUCACGAGCGGCUUGAGUUGGAGAGGAAGGCGAGAGCGCAGGCGCAGUCAGCAUGCUUGCAUUACCUGCGUUGCUGUCCGCGCUACUCACUCCUGCACCACCUCAAUGAUAUCGGCUCACGCGUGGACAAACAGUGGUUCGUGGUGCGAGACGUGUCGGUGAAGACAGAGCGACUACUGACGCUGGUGCCGCGUAGCUCCAACUGCCCGAUCGCGUGCGACGCCGAGACGCGCACCACCAUCCUCGACCUCUUCCUCGCCCUGCAGCACCCCUACAUCUAUCCCAUCCUCGACCUCGAGUUCCAGGAGGCCAGCACCACCUCCAGCGACACCUACAUCAUCCUCGUGCUGCCCUUCAACAACAAGGGCAGCUUGAAAGAUCUCAUCUACCAGAGCUCUUGGCAAGAUGACUGGUGUGAAAAAUACAGUCAACGAACUGAAGGUCUUCCUACUUCGCAAGUUCAACGUCUGGGAAGGCAAAUACUAGAAGCCCUGUUGUUCCUGAAAGAGAGAGGCUUCCCGUCUUGCACGCAUCUUCAUUCUGGCAAUGUUAUUCUUCAAAAUGGAGUAGCAAGAUUGAGUGGGUUGGAGAACACACUGUUUGGUUUUACUUCUCGAAUCCAUCCAGUUAUUUGGUCACUAGCUAAAGCAGAUCCUGCAGCAAUAGAUAUUAUAUGCUUCGGUCACAUCCUAUUCGAAAUGUGCGCCGGCUACGAGUUGAAAACUCAAAAACCUAGUCCUGCCAAUUAUUUAGAUAUUGAUAAUUACCCACAGGUUGUUGAAGUACUCGAGUUUAUUUUUCAAAAUCCAAAAUGUCGCUUUCCGUCCAUUGAAGAGCUUCUUGUACACGACUUUUUUCGAAAUAUUGAUCUGAGAGAGAUGAGAGCGUCAUCACUUUCGCAAGUUUAUCAUGCCAGACUUACGACUUCUGCAAUAACAUUACUGAACUCUGUGAAACAGUUCCAGGUUAAGAAAAGCAAAAUGCGUAGAAAUCACUCGACUCCAGCUGAACCCCCUUCCCCGCCACCCAGAGGCGAUCAGAGACCAAAAGACUCUAACCGUGGAGAGUGGCUGGCUUGAAAGUGAAGCAACAGAGGAGCAGCAACUUGAAAAAGACAGUUUUGAGGAGCAAGACAUUGGUCUAUUAGAAGACAAUGACAAUGGAAAUAACAUUGUAACAACUGAAGACAAUGGGGAUAUGGAUGGAGAAAAUUUCGAUAGCUCUCAGGAGCACAGAAACCUAUCUUUGCACAUCCAACCAAUAGCAAAUCCUCUGACGUUGGAAACAUCAAGUCUAUUGAGAUAACGCCUAGUUAAUUCUCGGUGCUGUGGGCAAGAGCAAUCGAUCUCCAGAGACAUGUGCAGAACAUCACCUACAUAAGCAAUAAUGGCUGCCAUCAAAAGCACUGUCAAACUUUAUCUUCCUUGGAAAUAAAUAGGAAAAUAUCCACAGCUCUGAGGAGACUUAUCUUUAUUCUCAAUUCAAAAAAAAAAUCGGAGUCCCCGUUGUAGUAUAUAGGAUGUGGCUUGCUUUAUAUAUAUACUAUUCGAAAAUAGCAAUCUGAUCUUGAAAGCUGAUGUCUUGCUGCCAUGGCUCAAAAUCGAGUGUAGGCACUAUCUCCUUCACCCUUAGACUACCAAAUAGGGUCUAUGAAGCUUGUCCCAUCAAAUACCAAAUAAUCAAUUUUACCAUUGGGAUAAUGUGUCCCUAUACAAAAACCAUGAUAAAAUGAAUAAAAUUUAGUAAAUAGCUCUGGAAUUUCAAUUUCACAUGUUAUUAUUGACAUUAUAUAUGAAGUAUUUACUCACUUUCAACUCAAAAUGACACUGCAAAUCACAUUAGAACAGCUUCAUUCAGCACAAAACCAGCAUGUGACACAUGCAUGCAUGAGAGCACAUAACCUCAAUUCACAAUAAUAUGGCGAUCAGAUAGUUCUAAACAGCUGAUGUAUUUCACAGAAUAGACCCUAGACUACCACUGGGAUUCAUUGCUGUAUAGUUUAGAAGAUCUAUUCACCCACUGGGAUUCGAUGAACUUCUAUUGGGACGUAUUGUCCCAGUUGUAGUGUGAGGUUGGUCAUUUAUGCUGGGACAUAUUGUCCCGUUGGUAGUCCAAGGGUGAAACAAAGUGCAUAUGACAGGUGGUUGAUGGUAACGUCAGCACAGGCAGGGCUUCUGCACCAAUAAAAACACUACCUAUAGCUCACAUGGGUCAGCUGAAAUCAACAAAUUUUUAUUGUUGUAGAAGCUCUAUAUUAUGUGUUGACGUUACCAGAAUGCACUAAGGCUUUGUUUACGGAGGUAGUGAUGUAGGCCUAGGCCAAAGUUAGUAGGCGGCCUAUAUAAUUGGCAUUCUCCUUGCACAGCAUUUCUCAGCUGCAUCAUCUGCUGAUCAGUGUCAACUGUCCUGCUGCUCCAUAAAAAGUAGGUAUGCAAGCGGUAUCACAAAUAUCAAACUCUAUCUCCCACUACAGUGAUAUCAAUAUUACUAUUCAAAUUGAGAGAUGUAUUUAUUUAAUACAGUAGAUGUGUUAAAGCAUUUGAAGGCUGGAGCAGCAUUUUUGGCACCUUGAAUUAUCAUACAGCUCUGCUGAGUUGUAGUUUGCAUCACAUGGAAAUGCAACUGAAAAAUGAUUGUGUGCUAUGGCAGCUUCAACUGUCCAGAUCAGAAUGCUAACUCGAUGUCGAUUGCUCAUCAAAUAUGACAUGACAAAGCAAGAAGUAAUACCAUCACAUCAUCUUGUAUGUCUCCUAUUGUUUUUAAUGGAUGUACUAACCCCUACUGCCAAUACUUUUUUGUGGUUGGAAACAUUAUCAACACAGAAAUUUCAUUCAAACCAAUAGGCUACAUCAUAAGACAUUGCAAGAGAUGCUUCAAGUUUUGCUACAGCUUGGUUAUCUCACAUUUGAUGUGCAUUCAACCUUGAAGAGGUUCUAAUAGAAGCUUUUGUUGUGCAAAUUAGGCCUACUAAGGACAAGGUAUAAGCUUCAGUGAGCUAUAUAAGUUCUGAAAAUUCUACCAUCUUCUCCCUCAUGAAAAUAAUGUAAUUAAACAAAACUAUUGUGAGAGAAUUUUUGUGCAUUGCCUGAACAUUGAUUUAGAGUGUGAAAUAUAUGAAUAUUAUUCGAAAAAGUGUGUUAUGUUAAGAGACAAUCUGCCAAUCAAUUGUUAGUUCUACAUACUCCUUUUUUAAAAAAGUGUUAUUUGUGGAACUGUAUAAUAUUACCUGUUUAAUUAUCUUAAUUUACGGCACUAGAUAAUAAUAAAUAGUAUUCCAUUUAAUGAUGGAUAGAAUUGUUUUACAGUUGAUACAACAAUUGAUUGAAAAUGAGAAUAGUUAUUUUUAUAGGUGUGGUUCAUUUAUAUUACAACAUUUUCCAUUGAUUUUAAAAACACUUCAAACGAUUUUUCUUUGUAUUUUGACAAUUAGGUCAAUCAAAAUAAUUUGAUGAUUUUCUGAUAUCUAGAAUCAGAAAAUGUUAAUAUUUUAACUAGCUAUGAAUAAUAAAUUAUUGAUGAAAAAUCAUCCAAGUGAUUUGAUCAGUAUCAAGUGGCAAAACAUCUACUCUUUUAUUAAGGCCUAAGUUAAAUUAGGAGACCAGGCUUGGAUAUCAUGCUGUGCUGUCUGCUUGUAAAGCCAGAUGGGACACCAGUGGUGUCCAGGUACCAAAAUGUAGUUUCUUGGCUGGUGUCUCUAGUGUAAUUAGUAGCAUAGGAACUUAUAGUGCUCAGUGAGUCGCUUGGACUCUCAUUGGUGUCUCAGCCUGCGAGCCUGGUAUCCUAAGGUCAUAAGGGUCUAGGAAUUUUUUUUAUAUUUAGAACUUCUCUGAUCUUCUAGAAUAACUAGCAAAAGAAGAAGGUAGGAUUGUACAAGCUGUGUCUGUCAGUAAAACCUCCGCUGAAUCCCCAUAGAUAAAACUUAUUAUGUGAUAUAGAUAAUUUUACUCAGCACUUCAAGGCACUACAAAAUAUUUCAUAUACAGUACUGUUAAUAUUGAGAAUUAUUAGACAUUUCAUUCUAAACAAACAAAACAUCUUAACAAAUUUCAAUCGAUGAUGUUAAGUAGAAUUUGUAAAAUGUAGUAGGUACCGGUAGGCUUAAUACAACUGAUUAACAAAAUGAGAACCCCUGUACAAGUCCAUUCAAGAUUGCAACGCAAAGUGAAGCUUGUCUAGAUACGUUUAAAUAGUUGCUGCUUCCAAAAAAUAACCAUUAAUAAAUUAAAGUGAAAAAUUCCACUAGCUGAAUAAAUUUAAAUGGUAACAUUUAACAAAUUAUUAACAAAUAUUUUAUUUUAUUUUAUUUUACAAAUUGUUAACAAAUAUUAUUAUUAACAAAUAAUUUAACAUUUAACAAAUUGCCCAGUAUUAAGUUCUCCUUCUAUUUCUAACUAAAAAUGUGUGAACCUGUAAAAAUGCAGUUCUGGAACCAGUUUUUCAUAGAUUUGUAAUACGAUAAACUCCAAUAAAAACCAUUAAUAAACAAAAAAACUGGUGAGCAAUACAAUUUAGUGGAAUCUGUUUUGCUUUCAUCUAGCAUAGUCUCUCUGUUUAGUAGUUUGGAUGCUGAAUGAUAUUUAGUGAAUAUUAUUCACGGUUCUCUAUUUUCAAUGAUACAUGAAAAUAAUUUCACAGAUCUUAUCCAUUACAUUUGUACUCUUCAACAAUUUGUUACCUUUUAAAAAAAAAAUUGUUGAUAUAUCAAUAAAAUUUUCGAUGUUACGACUAUAUGUUUAUAAAGUUCAUACAUAUUUUUUUUUUUAAUGAUAGAAUCAAUCAUCAUACGAAUUGUUCCAUUAUUUACUUAACAGGGAAGUAUAGGAUACUAUUAUAUGAUUAUUAUUUAUCACUACAGAAUUUAUAUCGUAUCUUAAAAUAUAAGAGACGAUAAGACUGUGUUUGUACAUUGUAAGGAUAUGGCCAAGAUCAGAAUUUGAUGUCUUGAUUUUCAAUUUCAAUUUUAUUUCCAAUUUUUUGUCUUGCCUAUUAUCAUAGAGAAACAAUAGCCUAAGUAGAUAUCCAAUGGUAUAGGGCGUUUAUGUUGCAACUUUUAAACUGUUAUCUCAAGCUGAUAGUCAACGUAGUUCUUUCCCGUGACGCUGGUGGUCUCUCAUAUUGUGCCGUUCAUACACUCUCACCCCAACAAAAAAUUGAAAAUCGACAAUAAUCGGCUUGAGAUAACAGUAAAAGUUGCGACAUAAACGCCCUAUACCAUGGGAUAUCUACUUACGCUACCUAUAAUUGUUUCUCUAUGCUCUGUAGUUGGAUUCAUGGUUCUGAAUCAGAGAGAGUUGCUGUUUCAAAUCCUCUGCUGAAUAUAUACUCAAAUUUUUCUCCUUAGAAUUUUCAACAUCGAUAACUCUCCUUUUGAUUUUGUCAAAAUAAUGUAUUAUUAGCCUAUUCCAUUUUCAAUUAUUAAUCUCUCUAUACGGUAGUAUAUUUUUGCAGUUAAUAGGAUAAUAUGCAGCUUAUUUUCAGCAGAGAACUAUAAAACUAUAAUGUAUUUUAUUCUUGUGUUUUUGACAGACCCUUCUGGAGUAGGUACACAUCACAUCUGCUCUCUGCUCAUACAUUGCAGAAAUCUAUUCAUAAAAUGUGAUAAUAUUGUCACUUAAAAUGAUGAAUUCUUUUUUAGAAAUGAAAUAUGUAUGAACUAUAUUAUUGGAUAUGAUAUAUUAUAUAGCUGUAGGCUAUACUUAUGUAAACCUAGAUAUAUAUUUUUGUAUUGGAUUCAUUUGAAAUGGAAUAUCAUGUCUGGAUGUACGUUCUCUUACAUGUUGUGGUGUGGUACCGUACUCACCAUAAUAUAAUAUACUUCUGCACUCUCAAAUAUUAUUCAUGAGAAAAAGAGGUUGAUAUUUAUAGGGUUUAUCAGUAUGAACACAAGAAGCACAAACAUUUUCAUUAACUAUGGAGUGUUUCCAAAUUAUAUAGCCUACUUGAUCUAUGAUGUCCACCUAGCAAAUAUUUCAAAAACUGAACGAUUAAUAUUAUGAAUAAAAAAUAUAAAAAUUCCAUAGAUAUGCUCCAAUUUUGAAUCUUCUCAUAGAGUGCCUCUUCUCUCAAGUAUCAUCAAUAAUAACUAUUAUUAUGGGUUUCCAUAAUUCAAUUUCCAAUUUUCCAUUUAUUUAUAAUAAUCCAUAAAGCUUUCACAAUUUAUAGCCUAAAUAUAUUAAGAGAAUAAAAAUUGACUAAUUGCAUUUUUAUAUCUGCCAUUUCAACAUAUUUUUAGUAUAUUUUGAUAGAUCUCUAAAUAACAAUGCCUAACAUAGAACCCGAGCUGAAUAAUUAGUUACGGUAUGUCGGGCCUGAAGCAUAGCUUUCUAUAAUUGUAUAACUAAAAAAUAUCAGUUUACAAUUUUCAUGAGGAUGAAAAAUAAGAGUAUAAUCGAUUGCAUGGCUUCAGCACUAGUCUAGUAUAAUAAAUUGUAUCAAACAAUAAACAAAAGUUUUUCACAUGGAUAUCAUAAAUACAGUCACUAGUCCUACAAGUGAUUUGAUUCUCUUUGAUCAAAGGAAACUAAAGUGUAAUUGUGUUGCAUAAAACAAAAGUAGCAAGUAACCCUGCAGAAAUGAAUUUACAUGAAUAAUAACACAAUUUAUUGAAUUGAUAUUCUAAUUUUUUACUGUUCAAUGAUACGCUCUGAAUUAUAGUUUUCAAAUAAUAUUUUAAGUGAUGUGUUACCACACAAAAAGGUCUGUAAAUUUGAAUUCAAAACAAUGCCUAAGCUAUACUGAAUUAAUGAAAAGAUGAGAGGAUAAUUUAUCACCACUAAUCAAUUAUUACUCUUUACAUGAAUGAUGUCAACAUGAACUUCAACUGAAUGGAUGUUAAGGAACUUCUAGAAAAACCAAAGAACAAUCCUACAUUCCAAGAAUAAUGAAAUCAUCACUGCUCCUUGCAACUGAAGCAAACUGCUACCAUAGAGAAACAAUAGCGUAAGUAAAUAUCCCAUGGUAUAGGGAAUUUAUGUCGCAACUUUUACUGUUAUCUCAAGCCGAUUACUGUCGAUUAUUGUCAAUUUUUACUGUUUUGUCGGGGUGAUAUAGUGUAUGAACGGCACAAUUUGAGAGACUACCAGCGUCACACAGCUGCAUAGGGGAGAACUUUGUGAACUAUCGGCUUGGGAUAACAGUAAAACUUGCGACAUAAACGCCCUAUACCAUGGGAUAUCUAUGCUAUCGUUUCUCUAUGCUGCUACCUACUAAAUAAUAUCAACAAUGUGACAUAGUUGUAUGAUUUUCCUAAUUUUUUAUCAUGAGUCGAUCAUUGUAAUAAGUGGGUAGUGAAAUUAAAAAAGCUAUGCAACAGGUUUGUCUUGAUGUAUAUAUUUAUCAAUGUUUGUUUCCAUUACAAACUGCUUGUUAAUAAUCACUUUUGAACAACUAAAUUACGACAUAGCAGUCAGGUAUUCAUAAAUAGAAGCUAUUAGCUUCUACCACAGAGGAAAGAAGCACUGGUAUCACAGAGGAAAAAAGCACUGGUAUCACAGAGGAAAGAAGCACUACUGGUAUGCUUAUUCCGUGCUUCUACUCACAUUUGUGUAGUGCUUUCGGACACUAGGCCCUUCAUCAACACUGUUAGCCUAGUGUGAGAAAGCUCUCCACAAAUGUGAGUAGAAGCUAAUAGCUUUUAUUUAUAAAUACCAGUACCUGACUGCUAUGUCGUAAUUUAGAUGUCCGAAUAUGAUGUAUAUAUUUAUCAUGAAAUGAUGCAAAAUGCAGGAAAAAUUAUUGGCAUUGAAAUAAUCAAGGAAAAUAUGUUAUUUUAACUUCCAAAAUAUGAACAUUUUUCUAUAAAAAAUAUGUAUUAAAGAUGCAUUGAAAUUAU